RNAcentral lists this ribosomal RNA (497 nucleotides) under uncultured bacterium. RNAcentral's name for it is "partial 16S ribosomal RNA". It matches the Rfam family "Bacterial small subunit ribosomal RNA", at positions 28 to 507 of the family's 1533-position model. The record is from RNAcentral.
GACGAACGCUGGCGGCGUGCCUAAUACAUGCAAGUUGAGCGAUGAAGAUUGGCGCUUGCACCAAUUUGAAGAGCAGCGAACGGGUGAGUAACGCGUGGGGAACCUGCCUUUGAGCGUGGGACAACAUAUGGAAACGAAUGCUAAUACCGCAUAACAACUUUAAACAUAAGUUUUAAGUUUGAAAGAUGCAUUUGCAUCACUCAAAGAUGAUCCCGAGGUGGAUUAGCUAAUUGGUUAGGUAAAGGCCCACCAAGGCGAUGAUACAUAGCCGACCUGGGAGGGUGGUUGGGCAAAAUGGGAAUGGGAAACGGCCCAAACUCCUACGGGGAGGAGGAGGAGGGGAUUUUUGGAAAAGGAGGGAAGGCUGAACGAAGAACGGCGGGUGGGGGAAGGAGGUUUUCGGAUCGGAAAACUCGGUUGGUAGGGAAGAAAGUUGGUGAGAGUGAAAAGCUCAUGAAGUGACGUUAACUACACAGAAAGGGACGGCUAACUACGUG